GACGGAGGCCCCGAGCGUUGUUCGGAAUUACUGGGCUUAAAGCGCGUGUAGGCGGGUCGGUAAGUGCUUUGUGAAAUCCCCGGGCUCAACCCGGGAAUUGCUUGGCAUACUGCCGGUCUUGAGGCAGGUAUGGGUCACUGGAACCUUAGGUGUAGCGGUGAAAUGCGUAGAUAUCUAAGGGAACGCCGGUGGCGAAAGCGGGUGACUGGGCCUGUCCUGACGCUGAGACGCGAAAGCGUAGGGAGCAAACGGG
RNAcentral lists this ribosomal RNA (253 nucleotides) under uncultured bacterium. RNAcentral's name for it is "partial 16S ribosomal RNA". It matches the Rfam family "Bacterial small subunit ribosomal RNA", at positions 524 to 776 of the family's 1533-position model. The record is from RNAcentral.